RNAcentral lists this ribosomal RNA (468 nucleotides) under uncultured bacterium. RNAcentral describes it as "partial 16S ribosomal RNA". It matches the Rfam family "Bacterial small subunit ribosomal RNA", at positions 28 to 507 of the family's 1533-position model. The record is from RNAcentral.
GACGAACGCUGGCGGCGUGCUUAACACAUGCAAGUCGAACGGAAAGGCCCUGCUUUUGUGGGGUGCUCGAGUGGCGAACGGGUGAGUAACACGUGAGUAACCUGCCCUUGACUUUGGGAUAACUUCAGGAAACUGGGGCUAAUACCGGAUAGGAGCUCCUGCUGCAUGGUGGGGGUUGGAAAGUUUCGGCGGUUGGGGAUGGACUCGCGGCUUAUCAGCUUGUUGGUUGGGUAGUGGCUUACCAAGGCUUUGACGGGUAGCCGGCCUGAGAGGGUGACCGGCCACAAUGGGACUGAGAGACGGCCCAGACUCCUACGGGAGGCAGCAGUGGGGAAUAGUGCACAAUGGGCGGAAGCCUGAUGCAGCAACGCCGCGUGCGGGAUGACGGCCUUCGGGUUGUAAACCGCUUUCGCCUGUGACGAAGCGUGAGUGACGGUAAUGGGUAAAGAAGCACCGGCUAACUACGUG